This 449-nucleotide ribosomal RNA is filed under the name uncultured bacterium. RNAcentral describes it as "partial 16S ribosomal RNA". It matches the Rfam family "Bacterial small subunit ribosomal RNA", at positions 29 to 523 of the family's 1533-position model. The record is from RNAcentral.
AAUGAACGCUGGCGGCAGGCCUGACACAUGCAAGUCGAACGGAUCCUUCGGGAUUAGUGGCGGACGGGUGAGUAACGCGUGGGAACAUACCCUUUGGAACGGAAUAGCCUCGGGAAACUGGGAGUAAUACCGUAUGUGGUCGAGAGACGAAAGAUUUAUCGCCAAAGGAUUGGACCGCGUUGGAUUAGGUAGUUGGUGGGGUAAUGGCCUACAAAGCCGACGAUUCAUAGCUGGUUUGAGAGGAUGAUCAGCCACCCUGGGACUGAGACACGGCCCAGACUCCUACGGGAGGCAGCAGUGGGGAAUCUUAGACAAUGGGGGAAACCCUGAUCUAGCCAUGCCGCGUGAUCGAUGAAGGCCUUAGGGUUGUAAAGAUCUUUCAGGUGGGAAGAUAAUGACUGUACCACCAGAAGAAGCCCCGGCUAACUCCGUGCCAGCCGCCGCCGUAA